Molecule: ribosomal RNA, 433 nt
Filed under: uncultured bacterium
Lineage: Bacteria
Description: partial 16S ribosomal RNA
Rfam family: Bacterial small subunit ribosomal RNA
Source: RNAcentral
AACGAACGCUGGCGGCAUGCCUAACACAUGCAAGUCGAACGAGACCUUCGGGUCUAGUGGCGCACGGGUGCGUAACGCGUGGUAACCUGCCCUUAGGUUCGGAAUAACUCCCCGAAAGGUGUGCUAAUACCGGUUAAUGUCUUCGGACCAAAGAUUUAUCGCCUUUGGAUGGGCCCGCGUUGGAUUAGCUAGUUGGUAGGGUAAAAGCCUACCAAGGCGACGAUGCAUAGCUGGUCUGAGAGGAUGAUCAUCCACACUGGGACUGAGACACGGCCCAGACUCCUACGGAAGGGAGCAGUGGGGAAUAUUGGACAAUGGGCGAAAGCCUGAUCCAGCAAUGCCGCGUGAGUGAUGAAGGCCUUAGGGUUGUAAAGCUCUUUUACCCGGGAUGAUAAUGACAGUACCGGGAGAAUAAGCACCGGCUAACUACGUG